UACGGAGGGUGCGAGCGUUGUCCGGAAUCACUGGGCGUAAAGGGCGCGUAGGCGGCUCGUGAAGUCAGUGGUGAAAGCCCAGGGCUCAACUCUGGGUCGGCCACUGAUACUCGCGAGCUCGAGUUUGGUAGAGGCAGAUGGAAUUCCGGGUGUAGCGGUGGAAUGCGUAGAGAUCCGGAAGAACACCGGUGGCGAAGGCGGUCUGACUGG
This 210-nucleotide ribosomal RNA is filed under the name uncultured bacterium. RNAcentral describes it as "partial 16S ribosomal RNA". It matches the Rfam family "Bacterial small subunit ribosomal RNA", at positions 524 to 733 of the family's 1533-position model. The record is from RNAcentral.